Long non-coding RNA from Pieris napi, 1024 nucleotides. RefSeq lists it as uncharacterized. The record is from RefSeq and is a predicted model, not a curated record. NCBI's taxonomy places the organism in Eukaryota, Metazoa, Arthropoda, Insecta, Lepidoptera, Pieridae. The transcript has 2 exons.
AGAUUUAAAAUUUUCUUCUGGCAUUUCUACAUCAGCUCUAAGCAAGAUAAUACCGGAAACGUGUAAAGCGAUUUACGAAACGUUGAGGAAAGAUUACAUGAGGUUUCCUACAAGCAAAGAAGAAUGGCUGGAAAUUGCUAAAGGUUUCCAUGAUCAUUGGAACUUUGUUAACUGUGGAGGCGCACUGGACGGAAAACAUAUAAGAAUUAUUCCUCCUGCCAAUUCUGGAGCAAAAUAUUACAAUUAUAAGAACUUUUAUAGUAUGGUUUUAAUGGCUCUGGUAGACUCAAACUAUGAGUUUAUUUUUGUUGACGUUGGUAAAAAUGGCAGGAUGUCCGAUGGGGGUGUUAUUGAAUACACAACCUUUUACAACAAAUUAUUAAGAGGACAAUUAAAUUUACCCGAGAGAAGCGAGAAUGAUCAUUAUUUAAAUUACGUUUUCAUUGGUGAUGAAGGUUUUGCAUUGAAUGAAAACCUUUUGACCCCCUACCCGCAAAGAGAACUUGAUCAUGAAAAACGAAUCUUCAAUUACAGACUCUCACGUGCUCGUAAUGUUGUUGAAAAUACUUUUGGCAUAAUUGCCUCUAGAUUUCAGAUACUACGUACACCUAUUAACAUGAAACCAGAAAAUAUAUGUUACAUAGUACUAGCAAUAUGUAGUAUUCAUAAUUUUUUAAGAAAGAGAAGUAAUUUUUAUAUGUCAGCAUCAACCGUGGACAGAGAAAAUAUUGAAUCGAGUACUGUUUUAAACGGAGAUUGGCGCCAAAACAGCUCUGAACUAACUCCAUUGAACAGAUAUUCGGCCAGAAAUGUGCCUUCCUUAGCUAAACAGAGUAGAGAUGAAUACAAAACAUAUUUCAAUACAAUAGGUAAGGUUUCUUGGCAAGAAACUAUGAUAAACGCUGGUAGAUCAUAGCUGUUAAUAUGGACAAACCUUUAAUUUUUAUGUAAUAAUCAUUUAAUUUAAUUUUAAAAUGAUAAUAAUCACUUACUUAUACGUAAUAAAAAGGUUUUCUGUGAAAAA